UGGGGAAUAUUGCACAAUGGGGGAAACCCUGAUGCAGCGACGCCGCGUGAACGAAGAAGGUAUUCGUAUCGUAAAGUUCUGUCCUAUGGGAAGAUAAUGACAGUACCAUAGAAGAAAGCUCCGGCUAAAUACGUGCCAGCAGCCGCGGUAAUACGUAUGGAGCGAGCGUUGUCCGGAAUUAUUGGGCGUAAAGGGUACGCAGGCGGAUUAAUAAGUCGAAUGUUAAAGAUCGGGGCUCAACCCCGUAAAGCAUUGGAAACUGAUAAACUUGAGUAGUGGAGAGGAAAGUGGAAUUCCUAGUGUAGUGGUGAAAUACGUAGAUAUUAGGAGGAAUACCAGUAGCGAAGGCGACUUUCUGGACACAAACUGACGCUGAGGUACGAAAGCGUGGGGAGCAAACAGG
Molecule: ribosomal RNA, 403 nt
Filed under: bacterium
Lineage: Bacteria
Description: partial 16S ribosomal RNA
Rfam family: Bacterial small subunit ribosomal RNA
Source: RNAcentral